Molecule: ribosomal RNA, 253 nt
Filed under: uncultured bacterium
Lineage: Bacteria
Description: partial 16S ribosomal RNA
Rfam family: Bacterial small subunit ribosomal RNA
Source: RNAcentral
UACAGAGGGGGCAAGCGUUAUUCGGAAUUAUUGGGCGUAAAGAGCGUGUAGGCGGCCUGGUAGGUCAGCUGUGAAAACUCGAGGCUCAACCUCGAGACGCCGGUUGAAACCAUCAGGCUAGAGUCCGGAAGAGGAGAGUGGAAUUCCCGGUGUAGCGGUGAAAUGCGCAGAUAUCGGGAAGAACACCCGUGGCUAAGGCGGCUCUCUAGUACGGUACUGACGCUGAGACGCGAAAGCGUGGGGAGCGAACAGG